Molecule: long non-coding RNA, 3992 nt
Organism: Oreochromis aureus
Lineage: Eukaryota; Metazoa; Chordata; Actinopteri; Cichliformes; Cichlidae
Source: Ensembl
GUUGCAUACAUGGAGAAUGGCUCUAUGCAGCCAAGUAUAGACCCCACCCUUAUCAGCUGAGAGCAGACUCAGGGAGCAUGACGUUUUUGCAGCCAAACAUGACCUGUUAUCCAAUUAGACACACUUAUUGGAUGCCACAUGUAUCUGAUAAUCAAACUGGUGGUGUGGACAGAGAAGAUAAGCAAUGUUUAGGUCAGAUUAGUCCUCACCUGCUUCACUUCCACAGAACUGCCAUCAAAGUGAACCAGCACAGGACUCUCAGAUGACCUGCUACACAGCUUUGUUUUUAAAAUUACAAGGCAAAAGAACAUGGAGGAAAACCUAACAACCAUGAAAACUUGGGUCAACAAAUGGAUAUCGACACAGUCUACAAUCAAAUAUACUUUUUCGGUGAAUGCAUCCAAACUUCAAGAAUCACAGAAAGAAAUAGACACAGACUCCCUCGAGGAUCAAACAUCAGCAAUUCCAAAGGACAAAAGGGGGACAGAAAAUAUAACAGAUACAACAUCAUUACAAAAUUCUGUAACAUUAGAUGAUCAGCAUCAAAAUAAAAAAAUUAAAGAACAACAGAAGGAGCAUUUUGAAUCCAAACAUUGUUUUGCAGAAGGCAAAAAUGGGGAGCAGGACUUUUGCUUACAGAUGCGAACUGAAAUUCAUGAAGAAGCAGUGCAUGAUAAAACUGAAUUACUGAUAAUUGUAAGAGAAAGGGAAGAAGUGGAAAAACUGAUAUGUAACCUAAAGCAGCAAGAGGGGGAAAUAAAGGAGCAAAUAAAGUACACUGUUGAUAACAUGAAAGAAAAAACUCAAGACAUCAAAAGGCUCAUUUUGGAAAUAAAUGACCUGCAGAGGGCAGACACUGUAAUUACAGUCGGUGAAACUGAAAAUGCCCAGGAAGUAUUAACUAAGCUGUUGGAAGAAACUGAACAGAGAAAGAUUUUGAUGGUGAACACCAAAGUUUUCAAAAAUGAAAUAAUGAAAUAUGAAGUACAAGAGGAGGACGAUGCCAAAAAAAUAAAACAAGAGUCUAGCUUGAUAAGACUUGAUAUUAACAAGCAAAAACAAAUUCAGAAAUCAGGAGAAGAGAUGAAAAAACAUGUUGAACACACAGAUGAAAAUAAAAAGGACAGAGGAGCCGAUGUACAAAGACUCAGGGCAGAGAUUUACAAAACACAAGAGAUUAUAAGAACGCUAAGAGGAGGACUUGAGAACCUAGUGGAAAAAAGUAACAUGGACAAAGAUCAAAAGAAUGAAGGCAGUGAAAUUGAAGGAUUGCUAAAAGACAUCAAACAGUUUCAAGAGUUUUUGGAAAUUGUAAAAGCCACAAUAAAGCAAAGUGAAGUACAUAUGACAGAAGAAAUGAGCAAUAUGAAAUCAAUUAAAACUGCAGUGAAAAAGAAGAGAAGAGAAUUAGAUCAAAGGUUAGAAAAUACUUCAAAAGAGAGAGACAGAUUAGACAUCUUUAAAAUAAAAAUGCAGAGGCAAACUGAACUGAUUCGGCAGAAUUUAGAAAAAAUGGCAAAAGUUAAGAGCACAAUCGAGAAAAUAGCCACUCAGACCAGAAGGAAAAUUGAAGAGAUAGAAAUUAGUAUGAAGGAGACUGAAAUAAAACUAAGACAGUUUAAAGACCUUGACUACAUUAACCUUAACAUAACAAAAGGCGCAAAACCAGACAUGGAACAUGGUACUACACCUAAGCAAAGAACUGCUCUUGAAAUUUUCAAGACUGAAAUUAGGAAGACAAUGGACAAUAAAAGAGAUAAACUGACAAAAACCAAAAUGGACAAAGAAACUGAGGGAACAGAAAUCCUCAAACAAGUUAAAGAGAAACUGGAUGAUGUAAGACUUUCAUUAGACAGUCUGGGUCAUAAAAAAAAAAAAUCAGUUAGUGAGACUGUGAAACAAAUAAUUAAGAGAGAAGAGACUGAGGUGACAGAACAGAUCCAAACAGCGAUAAAGAAUGAGAAAAUAGUUAAACAACUAGCUGAAACAGAAAUACAGGAUGAACAGAUGAACCAUUUGAGGGGGAAAACUGAAAGACACAAACAGGAGUUUGAUGACAGAGUACACAUGACAAAAAGGCAAAUAAGAGAAAUGGAGCUGCUACAAUCAGAAUUGAAAAUAAAGACAAAAGAACUGGAGCGUUUAUUUAGAAAAACCAUGAGAAAAAAGGAGGAAAUUGAAAUAAUGUGGAAUGAAAUGCAACGAGAAAAGGAAGCAUUGAGGACCGAGAUCAAAAAGAAAAGAAGAGAAUUAGACCAAAGACUGGAGAUAACUCUGAGAAAAAGGGAUGAACUAGAAAUGUUAAGGGUAAAAUUGAAACGACAGAUGGAAGAGCUGGCUGAGGAGAAGCAGAGAGACCAUAAUCUGUUCAUCCAUCUACCCAAUGAACAUGAAAAACAUUGGGAAAGCAAAGAUGCGAAAAUGUUCAUGGAGAAACUUAAAAACCACAGCUCAAAAGUUUCUCAUUAUAUUAUUUACAUCCAAAACAUAAGAGAAAGGGUUAAUUUACACAUGGGAACAAUUAGGACAGAGAUGAAAAUUCUAGAAAAUGUGAAUGCUCAUUUAGAAAAGGACAGGAAGGGAUUCAGAGAAGUUGAGGCUGAAAAUAAGAAUAUAACAAACAAAAUGAGGAGAUUAAAAUAUCAGCUUAAUAUAAUCUUUGAAAGAGUUAGCAUACAAGACACUGCAGAGAUGGAUGAAACAAUCAACAUGUGGGAAAAAAUCCAAAGACAAAAACAGAGGCUUGAUAUGAGACUAGAAAGUAUUAAAAGGGAAAGACAAGAGAUCGAAGCUCUGGUGGUUGAGCUGGAGAUGAAGAAAAGAGAAAACCAACGUGUAAUCAAAAGAAGCAUUCAAAAAGAACAGCAGAUAAAAAGAAUAUGGGUUACUUUCAAAGAAGAAAGAACUGCCCUCGUGAGAGAAACAAAGCAGAAAAAGGAGCUUGAACAACGACGAGAGGAGAUCAUCAAACAUCAAGGUGAACAAGAAAAAAAGCAGAAGUUGCAAAAAGGAAAGAAAGGGACGAAAAGUGAAAUUGAAGACAUGAGGAUGACAGAAAAAAGGAAGCAAAUUAAAAAGCAUUGGGAACUAAUCAACAAAUACUUAGGGGAAUAUAACAAGGUAAUUAAAAACACUCAAAUCAUCAUUGGAAUAAUUCAGAAUGAAAAUAAGCACAUGCAAGACCAAAAGAAUUUCUACAUGACCAGAAGAAAAGAAGUACUGAAUAUGAAAAGCGAGUUAGAUAGGCAAAAGGAAAUUAUAUGGUGCGCAUUAAAAAACAUAAAACAAGAGCGAAAACAUGGGGAACAAGUGGAGACAAAAAUCAAGACAGAGCAAGAAAAAAAUGAAAACGGAUGGAAAAAACAAUUUCAGAUAGAAAAAGAUGCCAUUGAUGACUUGAGUGCAGACAAGAGUCAAGACAAAGAAGAUGUUGAAAGAAUGACUGAGAUGUUGAAGAAGAACCAGAAACUUGACAUGAGAGGCUGUAAAGUCAAAAAAGAAAUUGACAUAUUAAAACAAAAAAAGGAAGACAUAAAAGAGGAAAAGAAAACCAGUGAAAUAAAAGAAAUGGGAAAAAAAAUAACGCAUAAGGAUGGUAUGAAAAGGGUUGUCUUACAAGACACAAAACAAGACUUCAUAAAAAAAGAGAUCAAAAAACGAAACCAGGGAAAACAAAAAGUCAACCAGAUGAGAACUAGACGUGAGAAUAGAAAAGAACUGUUGUUGAAGGAAAGGAGAAAUAUCAUAGAUGAGCAGAAAGAGAUGGAAAUGAGAGGAGACCAAAUCAUGAUAGAAAUGAAAUCACUAGAGAUUCUGAAAGUGAAACUUCGACAACUGAAGGAGCAUAUAAAAGCUAAAAUGGACAGAUUACUACAAAAUGCUGACAACAGGUCAAGGCUGCAAACAGUGUUGGAAGAAAAACUUACAACUCAAGACAAACAGAAAGAAAACAUUUGCUAUUUCACUGAAAUGUUAGAGAGGGAAAGGGAAGG